This 113-nucleotide long non-coding RNA is filed under the name Struthio camelus australis. RNAcentral describes it as "lncRNA (ENSSCUG00000012698.1)". The record is from RNAcentral. Lineage: Eukaryota; Metazoa; Chordata; Aves; Struthioniformes; Struthionidae.
UCAAGGGUGACCCAUAAAUGAAGGCAUUUUGCAUGUGAAAAGCUGCAAAGGGUGGAAGACACUGGGAUAUCGGCAGUGAGCAGAGUGCAACUGAGAUUGUUAAUGCUACAAUU